ACAAAAACAAAAAAACCUCCCUGCUAUCCCC
RNAcentral lists this non-coding RNA (31 nucleotides) under Mus musculus (house mouse). Lineage: Eukaryota; Metazoa; Chordata; Mammalia; Rodentia; Muridae. The record is from RNAcentral.